Molecule: long non-coding RNA, 201 nt
Filed under: Theobroma cacao (cacao)
Lineage: Eukaryota; Viridiplantae; Streptophyta; Magnoliopsida; Malvales; Malvaceae
Description: long non-coding RNA (TCAC_LNC002011)
Source: RNAcentral
AACUCAGUUAUAUAUUUACCUCCGGGGGGAGAUGUUGGAUAAAGUAUCUCCUGAGGUAAAGAUUUGAGUGCACUUCACAUGGACCACCGCGUGAGAGUGAGACUCAGUCAACGCCAAGGAACGGUUGUGUGUCAGAUGCAAAAACAUGUUUAUGGGUAUGGGACAUUUAACAGCCUUGGAGGUCUCAGUGGGAUACCUUGA